This 50-nucleotide transfer RNA is filed under the name Planorbis carinatus. RNAcentral describes it as "tRNA-Tyr". The record is from RNAcentral. Lineage: Eukaryota; Metazoa; Mollusca; Gastropoda; Planorbidae.
AAGCUUGUAAGCGUUAGAUUGUAAAUCUAUUUUUUGAAGAAUCUUCCUUU